This is a long non-coding RNA of Protopterus annectens (West African lungfish), 876 nucleotides long. RefSeq lists it as uncharacterized. Lineage: Eukaryota; Metazoa; Chordata; Ceratodontiformes; Protopteridae. The record is from RefSeq and is a predicted model, not a curated record. The transcript has 2 exons.
UGCAAGGCUAAAGCUCUGUCCUAUAUAUCACCCCCAUUAAGUCGUGAUUUUUUUCCUAGCAGUUUUAUAAGGAUACACUGCAUACACCGACUGCUUUAACUUGGAGAAUAUAUGACUUUUGAGUUAAGAGAAACUACACGAUGCAUGUGCAAAAAAAGAGUGAACAAGGAAAACAACCAAAACUUAGUAAAAAGAAGUCAUGCAAAUAAUUAGAAACAUUUCCUCUGUUUAGAAAUGAGCCUGGAAAAGUGAGGAACCAUGUUAUUCACUUCUGAAUUACUGUAUCUUAACAAAAAAAAAAAAUGUCAUGGCUGUUGUAGUCGAUAAGAAAGUGGCAGUUUUGUGAGUCAGUCCCACUUCUGGUCCACCCUACAAAAAUGUAUCUAUCAACUUUCUUAAACUGCAAAUAUCAGUAAUAUGGUAAAAGUUAUUUUUAUAUGAAAAUGACAUUAGAAACUAUCAAAACAAUUUGUGUAAUGUAGCUGUGGAUGAAAUGAACAUCAGUUUUAAAAAGGGAAGUGACUGCAUCAAUAUUUGAAACUGAAUUUCUCUACCUUUCUGCUUCCUUUCACAAAUCAGAGAUCUUUCUUUUAUAUAAGAAUUGCAAAUUGCUUUAUUAGCAAAAUAUGAAAAUGAUUACUGAAAUUCAUAAAGGUAAAAAUAUGGGUCCAACAAUUUCCCAUUGUACUUCACUAAUGAGAAUCUGCUAAAAAUAAAAUAGCCUGAGAACAUACUCAAGAAGAACGCCUUAAAUUGUCAAACGGAAAAUAAUAAUCCAAAAUGCAAUAAUAAAAUUUGGUGAAUUUUUGAAUUCCAGUCAUUGACUUCAUCCAACAUUUGUACCUUAUUUACUAAUAAAAAAAUGCAUGUCCUGUU